Molecule: unclassified non-coding RNA, 216 nt
Filed under: fungal sp.
Lineage: Eukaryota; Fungi
Description: partial internal transcribed spacer region
Rfam family: Eukaryotic small subunit ribosomal RNA (bases 1-46)
Source: RNAcentral
AAGUCGUAACAAGGUUUCCGUAGGUGAACCUGCGGAAGGAUCAUUAACACCUUCUGAUCUAUCACCAAUGUCUGAAAGUGUCAAGUGAUGGUCAGGGUAACGCAGUCAACGAUCGCUGUAGGUACCGGCGACCGGGGUGGAGGCUAACGCCCUUACGUCACCCCUAUGUACCCUCCGGGACUUGGCGAAAACUGUUAACAAUGGAUAUCUUGGUUC